This is a long non-coding RNA of Malania oleifera, 9388 nucleotides long. RefSeq lists it as uncharacterized. The record is from RefSeq and is a predicted model, not a curated record. The transcript has 3 exons. Lineage: Eukaryota; Viridiplantae; Streptophyta; Magnoliopsida; Santalales; Ximeniaceae.
GGAUACUAAGAAGGUUUGGUGAUAAAUGAAGAUAGUUUGAGGGGAAUGUUGCCUGGUUCGAGACAUUCAUUAAGCAAUAUUUGUGAAUGUGUCGGACCAGGCUUCAUCCCUCCCAAACAUGCUCAUGCCAUCGCUAGCAUAUUUGCAGCUUACGCCAUAAAAAAUAUUGAGUUAUGCUCUCUCUCUCUCUCUCUCUCUCUCUCUCUCUCUCUCUCUCUCUCUCUCUUUUCGAGUAUUUGCUCUCUCUUUAUCUCUCUUUCUCUAAGCACACAUGCUUACACUCACAAGACUGAUUCUUAGGACCUGUGUUUAAUAACCCCUAAUAAAUAAGCAUUAUCAGUCCCAUAGUUUUGUUUUAUAAUGCUUACAUACUGUUACUACUUGUUGAAGGCGUGUUUUCUUUUCUUAUUAGAAUGGUUCCAUAAUUUGUGAAAGUGUUAUUGCUUUUUUUUUUUCUUAAUUUUUUGUGUGAUUAUUUCAAGUGGAGAGGAUAGAAGGAUGCUAGCUGGUAGUUAGACUUAGCAAGUCCUUGUGUCUAUUUAUCAACAAAUUGUUUUUUCUAGUUUUAAUUUGUGGACAACGUGUUUUCCCUUUUCUCCAUCUUUUAUUUUUCGCAAAUCCUAGUUUUUUUUUCCAUGCAUUUUUAAUCCCUAUCAUUAUACUUCCUAAUUAUUGAAGUAUAUAAUAAUGUUUAUUUUGGUUGGUUAUAGGGAAAAAUAAUUUUUUAUUCAAUUAUAAAAAUAAUACUAUAUUUUUUUCCAAAAGUGGUAAAAAAUAGGUCUCUCAACCCUAAUUUUUAAAUAUUUUAAGGAUAAUGGCACCUUGCCUCUAGUUCUCUCCUCAAUCUUGAAUAGGAUGAAAACAAGAAAAUAAGUAAAAUAGAGAAAGAAAAAUCAUUAAUGAAACUCACUAAGACUAGUAUAAAUUUCUGAGUCGAUAACAUGUUAUUUUGUUUUUUUUUUUUUUGUAGGAGCUUAACUUUCAAAAUAGUUAUAAUAAUAGUAAAAAAAAACAACAACAAUAGUAAGUUUAGUUGAGAAGUGAGUGACAUUUCUUAUUGGUGGUAAAAUGGUACUCAAACAUCUCACCAACAACUAGUUUGAUGGUUGGUGGUAAUGGAAUUUCAUCAUACAAUUAUGAAAUGUUGCAUCAAAAUUAUAGGUGGCAUGCCCAAGACAAUGACAGUUGUGGCAUAGACAAAAAAUUUUGCAAUAAUUUAAUUGGUUAAACAUAUAAUUGUUGGCUGGUUAUAUUAAAAAUGCCAUGUUAAAUAUAUGUUAUGUUGGGCCUAAUAAAUAAAUAGAUAACAAGCUUCAUUAAGAAAAAAAAUAAAUGAGUCUUGGACUUAUAACAAGAUUGGCUAGCCUAUUGGCCUAUUAGCUUAACCUCUAUACACAAGGACACACAACAAAACAUGGGAGCUCUUGGAAUUAAUCCACCGUAAUCUUGACCUAUAAAAGCCUUAAAUCCUAAUUCAAUAGUCCCAACAAAGUACCUAAGUAUCCUCUUAACUACUAACAAAUGAGACUUCUUAAGUGCAGCCUGAAAUUUAGUACACAUACACACACUAAACAUAAUAUUAGGUCUGCUAGCUAUAAGAUACAAGAGACUAUCAAUCAUGCCACGAUAAAUUUUGACAUCAACAUGAAUGCCUUGCUCAUCGUUGUCAGGUUUAGUGGAAGAGCUCAUAGGAGUUCCUAGAAUUUUACCGUCUUCCAUAUUAAAUUUCUCGAGCAAGUCCUAACAUAUUUUGAUUGGCAUAUGAAAGUCUCAUGUUUGGCUUGUUUAAUAUUGAUUCCUAGGAAGAAGCUUAGUUCACUCAUCAUGCUCAUUUCAAAUUCGUUUUGCAUGCAUUUGGCAAACUCAUUACACAAUUCAUCAUUUGUAGCUCCAAAGAUAAUAUCAUCAACAUAUAUCUGUACAAGGAGCAUAUGAUCAUUUUUAGAUUUAAUGAAAACUGUAGUGUAAAUUUUAUGCCUCUGGUAAAUCCAUUUUCUAGAAGAAAACCACGAAGCCUCUCAUACCAAGCUUUAAGAGCUUGUUUCAAUCCAUAAAAGGCUUUAGACAACCGAUAUACGUGAUUAGGAUAUUUAUGAUUUUCAAAACCUAGUGGUUGUUCUAUGUAGACUUCCUUAUUUAUAUAGCCAUUCAAAAAGGCACUUUUGACAUCCAUUUGAUAUAAUUUAAAAUUUUUAAAAGCGGCAUAUGCAAGUAACAUGCGAAUCGCUUCCAUCCUAGCCACAAGAGCAUAUGUUUCCUCAAAGUUUAUUCCUUCGUCCUGAUUAUACCCCUAGGCUACUAACCUACUUUUGUUUCUAGUCACUACAUUUUCACUCUUUUUGAUUCUAUAAACCCAUUUGGUUCCAAUAAUAGUGUGAUCAUCAGGCCUAGGAACUAGGGUCCAAACUUUAUUUCUUUCAAAUUGAUUUAGCUCUUCCUGCAAAGAUAGUACCCAUGAUUCAUCCUCUAUGGCUUCCUUAAUAUUUUUAGGUUCUUACUGAGAUAAGAAUGCAAAAUGACUAACCAAGUUUCUUAAGGAAGAACGUGUGACAACACCAUGUGAGGGUUCACCUAUGAUUUGAUCUAAAGUGUGAUAUACUUCCUUGAGCUUCAAUUUGAAUAUUCAUAUUGUUAUUUACUUUGAAGUAUAUAGUUAUGAAUUGUUGUACUAAUCAGCUCUUUUAGGAGCAAAUUCUCUGUACACAAAUAUUUGAUUUGUAUCUUGUAGAUUGACGAUUCCAAGGGUUGUUUGGAUCGUUGGCUAAGCAAGGGGAUAUUGCUUAGAGAGGCGGGCUCUAGCCUAUGUAAGGAGUGACUGGACGAGGGGAUAUCGUUUGGAGAAGGCGGGCUCUAGCCUUAACCAAGGAGUAUGGUAAAGGUUUGUUCCACCCGUCAACAGAACAGGUUUAGUGAAUCCUUUGGUGGUUUUGCCAAAGGCGAGGAUGUAAGCUAUGUUGAAGCCGAACCUCGUAAAAAUCCCCGUCUUACCCUCUCUUUCCCUAUUCUUUAUUUUCAGUUCAUAUACAACUGCGUGGAUGUUUAAAAUAUCUAAAUUAUACAUACUACGUUUAUUUGGAAAUCAAGUAAACUUAAAGUCCAAUUUUGAUUUGGGUUGCGAAAACCGAAUGGGAGUACAUUGGUUACACCAUAUCUUGCGGAAACCAUACGGGAGUACGUUACUUGGUUAACAUCCCAGAGAUAAAUUUACCAAGAGUUUAUUUGAGUUCUAAAUAUUUGGAAAGAGUGAUUGAAUUCAUCUAUACAGGGCUUUACAUCAGCAAGCAUAAAAUCGCAUUCACUACAGGGCUUGGUUCAAAUUUGGCUAAUAUCCAUUUUGAGUUUUUAUAUUACAUAAGUGCUGUGUAUUGGCUUGGUUGUUUGCUUUCUAAUUAUAUAUGAUUGGUUUGGUUGAAUGAUUGGAUGUUUGUAUGGUUAAGGAUUAAAUAAAGAAACUAAGUUCUUGAGUGCUUAGGAAAUUAAACAAACAAGUCACGAUUUGGUUAAAUGAAAUAAAAUAAGUUUAAGAAUUUUAAAAAGGAAUUAAAAAAAACUUUUAGAAUCCAAUUCACCCCCCCUCUUGGGAAGCUAUUCCUAAUUUCAUAAAGGAUGGCUUCUAAUAAAUUUACAGUCUCUAGGUAGUUCCUGAACCUCAUUUUCAACUUUAUUAUUUUUAAUGGAUUUGUCAUUAAUCUCUGAAUUCUUAUCUAUAUUAUUUUCAAUGGAGAGCAUCUCUAAUCCUUUUAUAAUUUCAGUAUCAUCUUCAUCAUCUCUUUUGGAAAAAGGAUUAGACUCAUCAAAGACAACAUGGAUGGAUUCAAUAAUAGAUAAUGUUCUUUUAUUAAAUACUCUGUAAGCCUUGUUGUGAAGUGAAUAACCUAGAAAAAUUCCUUCAUCAUAUUUUGAGUCAAACUUUUCUAGGUGCUUAUUAUCCCUAUGUACGAAGCAUUUAUAGCCAAAGACAUGAAAACAAGAGAUGUUUGGUCUAUGGCCAUUCCAUAAUUCAUAGGGAGUUUUAUUUAGAGAGGGCCUGAUUAAUAUUUUGUUCAUUACGUAACAGGCAGUGCUCACUGCAUCGGCCCAGAAAUAUUUGGAUAAUUUGUGUUCAUUAAGGAUUGUUCUAUCCAUUUCUUGCAAGGACCUAUUCUUUCUUUCAAUAACACCGUUUUCUGUGGUAAGAAAUAGUACCCGUGUGAACCUAGAAUAGUCAUCCACAAUCACAAAUGCAUAUAAUUUUCCUCCAAGACUUAGAGUUUGAUUAGGACCAAAUAAGUCUAUGUGCAGCAUUUCAAGUGGUCUAGUAGUAGAUAUGAUUUUCUUCUUCUUAAAACUUGACCUCAUUUUCUUACCCAUUUGACAUGCAUCACAAAUUUUAUUUUUCACAAAAUGUGUUUUUGGUAAGCCUUUAACUAAGUCAUUUUUCACAAGUUUUGACAGAAGAUCCAUGCUAGCAUGCCAUAGAUGCCUAUGCCACAACCAACUUGCUUCAUUUAUAGCAGAAAAACAUGCUACAGGUUGUGAAGCUAAGUUAUCAAAACAAGUGAUGUAACAUUUUUGUGAUGAUUAGUAGUAAAAAGAAUUUUGUUAUCAGAUUUGUUUUCAACAAUGCAUUUGUCAUUUUAAAAGGACACUAUAACCUUUAUCACACAAUUGACUUAUACUCAGUACGUUAUGUUUUAAACCAUCAACUAAUAAGACAUUAUCAAUAACUAGGGAAGGUUCCUUACCAACCUUACCUACUCUGAUGAUUUUGCCCUUUGUGUUGUCCCCGAAGAUCAUGAACCCUCCUUCCUUUGGAACAAUGGACGCAAACUUGGCCUUAUCGCCAAUCAUAUGUUGUGAACAGCCGCUGUCCAUGUAUUACUUGUCCUUGGUUGAGGACAACCUCAGACACACCUACAAAAUCAUUUAAGUAACUGAUAUUGGUUUGAAGAUAGGAGUUUCUUCCACCAUUUCCUUAUUAAACCACUUCUCACUUACCCAAAGUUGUCCCUUUAAGCUUGAGACUGGGUCAUAAAUGGCAAUGAUCUUCUUAUAUUGGUCUUUUAGGCCAGAUAUGGAGGGGUUAUUAGGCUGAAGUACAUCCUCUAGAGGGUCCCUUCACAAAAUCAAGGGAGCCACUUCCUCAACACGUUCAUCAAUUAUGUCAACAUGGAUAGCUUGGACAACAUCGAGUGGAUGUUGGGAAGUGUGAAGUACAUUUAGCUAGAGUUGUAUGUUUCCAAAAAACACAUCUAUGAUCCCAAUCCUACAUUGAAAGUACACAUUAGUUGUAGCUAAGAAUGGUUGUCCUAAUAGGAUAGGAUUCGGAUCCUUGGUUGGGCCAAAAGGUUCCAUAUCCAAGACAACAAAGUCAAUAGAAUAAUAGAACUCUUCGACUUUGACCAAGACAUCCUCUAUCACACCCUGAGGCUUUUUCACUGAUCCGUCAGCAAAGCUCAAUAUGACGGGGGUGGACUUCUACUAUUUUAAAUUGAACUAUUGGUAGACUGAGUACAGAAGUAGGUUCACACUUGCUCCCAAAUCUAAAAGAGCCUUAUCAAUGGUGUAAUCACCGAUUACACCGGAGAUGGUGGUAGCUCUGAUUUUGGAGGAAUGUGACCUAAAAUAAUUGAGAUCACAUGCUCAUUCAACCUAACUUAUUUGUUCAUGUGCAUCCUUGACUUAUGCUUUUGUGUGCACAAGUCCUUAAGGAACUUGGCAUACACAGGUACUUAAAAUCUCAGGGUCUAUAGGCACUAACUCAGGAUCCAAAGAGCGCAAACCCAACAUAUACACAUGCAAAACACAAUCAAGACUUCAGAGUAUCAAAUAAAAAUAAAAUUAAAAAAAAAACAAAGAAAAACAAAGCUCGCAGUACUUAAAACUAGAAAUUGGCUUACUACCGUAACAGAGUCUCCAGCAACGACACAAAAAUUUAGUUGGCUCGCCAAGGCUGGGUCUUUAAAUACCAAAGAUAAAAUUUAUAACUGAACUAAUCCCAAGUUUAGUAGAACAAUGAGUAAAUUGUGUAUCGAUCCUCAGGGACUCUAGUGUAGUUAUUUACCACUUCUAGUGUAAUUUACUACACUUUGUGUAAAAAGGAAAAAUGUGAGAUUUUGAAAUUGUUUUUCUAUCAAUUACGAAAGUAGGAAAACUAUAUUAACACUAAUCCUAGAAAGCAAAUCUCAUAUUACGAAUCAAGCUUAGGUUGUCAUUUGCAAUAGCUAUGUUCGGUUAGCUAUUCGUAUUAGGCUAAACAGUUAAGUGAACCAUUCGAGUGGCAUAGGGUAACGAAGGUGCACCAAUCUUCUGGUGUAUGAUCAGGAACCAGGGUAUACCCUAUCCAAUGAUCAUGAGAACACCUAUACAUGAGUCAUAGCUUAUUAUGUAUAAGUGACCGAAUCCUGAGCUAUGCUAUCCUUUAUCCUAGGGUCUCAUCACAAUAAGAAAGAUAAAAGUGCAUGGAAAUUAAAUACAUGGAAUUUAAAGUGCAGGUAUUUAAAUCAAAGUAGUACAAGAACAUGUAUUGAAAAAUGGCCUUAAUUGUAACUCAAUAGCCCGUCACUAGCAAUUGAGAAUACAACCAAGAGCCAGCUAAUCUAUGCGGCAGCACCUAGAACUUGAAGGUUGUCACAGGAUUUCAAAGAAUCCAAGCAUGAACCAGUACAAGGAAUUGAAAUGAAAUCAGUAAAUCUACUUAAAGUAGCACCUAACGACUCUCUUUAUCUGUCACUAACCAAAGAGGGGCCAAAGGGGAACACUAAGCAUAUAGAUGAAGCUAGGUUUUAUAACCAAAAGGGUUUACAAUGAUUCAAAUUCAAAUCAGGAAAGUUUUCUAGAAAAUAUCGUGAAGCAGUUACUUGGGCUCGCGUUUGUCGACUAGGUCACACCCACAUUUUCCCUAUUUGAACCAUGGUUAAGACUCUUAGGAAUUAUAGGGUUCAGGCUUUCUCGAACUAGUUGCGCCUAUAGGUACUCUUAGUCGAGCUACUGGUCGAGACCCUCGGGAUCUCUAGCUCAGUUAAUCUCAGGUUCUUGACUUGGUCACUCCUCGGGGUCUCCUAGUCAAGUUGUUGGUUGAACCUUGCAACAUCUUAUUUUCAAUCUGAGCCUUGGAGUCUUCCUUUCAUAACUUGGUCACCCCUUGUGUUAGCUGGUCGCACCACAUAAUCGAACAAGGCCUUUUGUGCUUUAAUGAAUUAAGGCUUUGGGGCUUUGUUAAGCAUGUGAUUGACUCUUUUUCUUCUCAAUUACUCCCUUGGCUUCUUAUAUUGCUUAACUCCUCAGUUUUAACCUGAUUUUCCUAAAACAUGAACAAACCUUGCAUAACACCGAACUAUGAUAAGAAAGGGUAAAUACAUGAUAAAUGAGGACAAGACAUAGGUAAAUGAGGGCCUAAAAUAAUGCAUUUUAGGGACACAUCACAUUGCAUGUGGAGUCCCCUCGUACAUAUAUAAUUUAGAAUUGCAUAUAUUGUUAAUUCAGGUGUAAUCCCAAGAGGGGGUGAAUUGGGUUUAUUUAACUUCUCUAAGAUUAUUUACCACUUAAUUCCUAUUUAUAUAUUUAACAAAUUAAUUGUAGGGAUUUGAAAUUAAUUCAAAUUAUUAUCCAAAUAAAUUCAAUUUUACCCAAUUAAUUAUCCAGUGCAUGUGCGGUUAUUCAACAUACACACAUGCGAGAUAGAUAAUGAAAUGCGUUGCGAAAAUUAAAAUGAGUAAGGGAAGAGAGAAGGAAAACACAAUUUUUAUAAGGUUCAGCCAACCCGGCCUACGUCCUCGCCUUAAGCAACCCACUCAAGGAUUCCACUAAAUCCCUACUCCUUUAACCGAGACGGAGCUUCCCUUACAUCCGCUUCUUACAAAAGGCACACCUUGCUCCUCACCCGGUUCACAACCCGAUCCGUGAUUACAAUAUAGAAUUUCAAAUCUGCAAAACAACUCAAUGUUGCUUCUAACAAAGUUAGUGAGUAUAAUGGAAAGUCUAACUCAUAUCCAUAUGAUAAAACUUGAAGCUCAAUAUGUAUGUAAUGAUGUAAUCGUUCUAUGAAUGAUAUGCUUCACAAAAUUUUCUUUUGAUCAAAUCUCCCAAAAUAAUUAUAUAAGUAAGUGCUUUGGAGAAGUUAGGGUUUUAAAUAAUCUUUGGUUUAAAAGAAUAUGACUAUUUCACUUCAAAUAUUGAAUCCAACCAAAUGAGCUCAAUACAAAUAUGUAAUUCAGUUUUUCUCCAAAAAUCUAGAUCGAUAAGUUUUAUUCCAAAUAUCCAAAACACAAUAUGAUCUUUGUAUAUGUAUAUGUAUACAUAUAUAUAUAUAUAUAUAUAUGAUAUGUGUUCCAAAGAUCAAAAACCUAAUAUAAUAUUUUUCAGAAAAUAUCCCUCAAUAAUUUAUAUAGUUAUGAGCUCUAAGGAUAUUUAAUCUAGUGGUUUUGUAAUAUCGAAAAUAUCGAGUCUUUAAAUGAAUACACACUUGAAUCAAAAAUAUUUAACCAUUGGUAAAACUUAUCUCAAGUAGUGAUCUUUUCAAAACAAUCUAUAUGUAUAUAAGUACACUCACGAUCAAUCUCUUAAAUAAUAUUCAAUGAUAGAUUUUGGGAUGAAAAAACUCUUUGAGAAUAAGUAGUAACAAACAGAUCGAUUUACCAAACCUCAAUAACAAGUUGAAUGCACAACAAUCGCUAGAAUGCUCUUUCAAAGAUCAAUGUAGCCUUAACUCAGAAUUGACAUAUAAGCUUUGAAACCCCAAGUAAGAAUUCAAAAGUGUGUUCAAUGCACUCCCAAGUUGUGCUAAAAGUUCAAUACACUCAAUCUUAUGCCAAAAGUUGGGGCACUAGGGUUUAGAGGUUGAUUAUAUAGGAAACCUUGGCCUUAGGAUAAGUCCUAACUGUUGGAUCAACUUGAUUAAAAAAUAACUCGUAAUUUUUUUUACUAAAUAUUAAAUUUUUAAUCUUCUCGCAGGUUCAGACGAUUGAGGAUUAGAGUUCAGACGACUAAAGUUCCUAAGGUUCAGACUUCUGAAGUUGCGAGUUCAGAUGAAUGAAGUCAAGACAAAUGAGCUUAAACUUCACUCUCCUGAAGUUGGAUCUUCAGAUCACUGAGCAUAGACUUCGGUCUUCUAAAGUUGAUACUUUAGACUUCUAGGUUGUUGGAUCGUUGACCAAGUGUGAGGUAUCGCUUGGAGAGAUUUUGCUCUAGCCUAUUGAAGGAGUGACCAAGUGUGGGGUAUCACUUGGAGAGGCGUUGCUCUAUCCUACUUAAGGAGUGUUUGAGUGUGGGGUAUCGCUUGUAAAAGGUUUGUUCCGCUCGGAAACGAACGGUAUAGUGGAAUCCUUUGGUGGUAUUGGCCAAAGGCGAGGACGUAAGCUGGGGAUAAGCCGAACCUCGUAAAAACUCUUGUCUCUCUCUCUUUCCCUUA